RNAcentral lists this transfer RNA (73 nucleotides) under Anomaloglossus apiau. RNAcentral describes it as "tRNA-Leu". The record is from RNAcentral. Lineage: Eukaryota; Metazoa; Chordata; Amphibia; Anura; Aromobatidae.
GCUAAUGCAGCAUAACCUGGCUUUGCCAAAGAUCUAAGCCCUUUUUAUAGAAGUUCAAAUCUUCUCAUUAGCU